CGUAACGCGUAUACAAUCUACCUUUUACAGGGGGAUAGCCCAGAGAAAUUUGGAUUAAUACCCCAUGGCAUAUAUUUGCGGCAUCGCAUAUAUAUUAAAGAUUCAUCGGUAAGAGAUGAGUAUGCGUUCUAUUAGCUAGUUGGUGCGGUAACGGCGCACCAAGGCUACGAUAGAUAGGGGCCCUGAGAGGGGGAUCCCCCACACUGGUACUGAGACACGGACCAG
This 225-nucleotide ribosomal RNA is filed under the name uncultured bacterium. RNAcentral describes it as "partial 16S ribosomal RNA". It matches the Rfam family "Bacterial small subunit ribosomal RNA", at positions 109 to 334 of the family's 1533-position model. The record is from RNAcentral.